This 497-nucleotide ribosomal RNA is filed under the name uncultured bacterium. RNAcentral's name for it is "partial 16S ribosomal RNA". It matches the Rfam family "Bacterial small subunit ribosomal RNA", at positions 28 to 507 of the family's 1533-position model. The record is from RNAcentral.
GAUGAACGCUGGCGGCGUGCCUAAUACAUGCGAGUCGAGCGAACAGACGAGGAGCUUGCUCCUCUGACGUUAGCGGCGGACGGGUGAGUAACACGUGGAUAACCUACCUAUAAGACUGGGAUAACUUCGGGAAACCGGAGCUAAUACCGGAUAAUAUAUUGAACCGCAUGGUUCAAUAGUGAAAGACGGUUUUGCUGUCACUUAUAGAUGGAUCCGCGCCGCAUUAGCUAGUUGGUAAGGUAACGGCUUACCAAGGCAACGAUGCGUAGCCGAACUGAGAGGGUGAUCGGCCACACGGGAACUGAGACACGGUCCAGACUCCUACGGGAGGCAGCAGUAGGGAAUCUUCCGCAAUGGGCGAAAGCCUGACGGAGCAACGCCGCGUGAGUGAUGAAGGUCUUCGGAUCGUAAAACUCUGUUAUUAGGGAAGAACAAAUGUGUAAGUAACUAUGCACGUCUUGACGGUACCUAAUCAGAAAGCCACGGCUAACUACGUG